Molecule: ribosomal RNA, 403 nt
Filed under: uncultured bacterium
Lineage: Bacteria
Description: partial 16S ribosomal RNA
Rfam family: Bacterial small subunit ribosomal RNA
Source: RNAcentral
AUUGAACGCUGGCGGCAGGCCUAACACAUGCAAGUCGAACGCAGUGGGGACGGGUGAGUAACACGUGGGUAACCUCCCAUCAGAGGGGAUAACACUUGGAAACAGGUGCUAAACCGAUACUGAUGGAUGGACCCGCGGGGCAUUAGCUAGUCGGUGAGGCAACGGCGCACAAAGGCCACGAUGCAUAGCGGACCUGAGAGGGUGAUCGGCAACACUGGAACUGAGACACGGCCCAGACUCCUACGGGAGGCAGCAGUGGGGAAUCUUCGGCAAUGGACGAAAGUCUGACCGAGCCACGCCGCGUGAGUGAAGAAGGUUUUCGGAUCGUAAAACUCUGUUGUUAGAGAAGCGGUAUCUAACCAGAAAGCCACGGCUAACUACGUGCCAGCAGCCGCGGUAAUAC